RNA transcript from Salvia miltiorrhiza (redroot sage), 4383 nucleotides. It is a transcript of the gene named pentatricopeptide repeat-containing protein At1g79490, mitochondrial, with no coding region annotated. Lineage: Eukaryota; Viridiplantae; Streptophyta; Magnoliopsida; Lamiales; Lamiaceae. The record is from RefSeq and is a predicted model, not a curated record. The transcript has 2 exons.
GCAUAUUUUAUUUGAUUGAAAACAAUCACAUAUUUGAAUGUGAUAAGCCCAAGUGAUCACCUAAAGGGGUUUAUUUCAUUUGGGUCGUUCAUUCAACCGUGCGCCGCCGCGAGCAGCCAAAUUCCGAUCAUCUCCUUUUCCAGUUACCUCUACAAAGCAAGUUUACAUGUAUGCGACGGUUUCGCCCCUAAAUAAACAAAGAGGUUUGGCAGCUGCAGGCAAGGAUUCAGCUAACCUAGGGUUUCACAUAGGGUUGAGAGGCUUCCUGUGCUACGAGGUACUUCUCCAGAAGAAUUAGAUUUUUCUUCUUCGAAAUGAAGUUAAGCUGGAUAAAUGUUGUUUCUUCUUUGAGACAAUCAAGGCAUGUGCUAUCCCAUAACAAAAAGUUGAAGUCUUUACCAGAUUCAUAUUUGCGCAGAAUUACUGCAUUUUCUGAGCGUAGUCUUGUUAGAGAGUAUUGUUCUGGGAGGAAUGGUAGGGAGGAUUCAAAUGUUUGGACUGAAGAAAUAGAUUACUUAGAUGAGUCAGGCAGCGUUAUUUACUCCGGUAAGGGAAUUAGGUCGGUGGAGCCAAGGAUUGAUGAUCAUGUAAUGGCGGGUGGGGUAAGGAAGCCCAUCAUGAACGUUUCAGCUGUGGCUAAGAUAGUUGAGGUGGUGAAGAGGUGGAGAUGGGGCCCUGAUAUGGAGGCUCAACUGGAUAAGCUUCCAUUUGUGCCAAACAUGACUCACAUCACUCAGGCGCUGAAGAUAAUCGAGGAUAGUGAAGCCGUGUUGAGUUUGUUUCGUUGGGGAAAGAGGCAGCCGUGGUAUUUGCCUAGUGAUGAAUGUUAUGUCAUGCUGUUUGACAAGUUGAAUUUGAGUAGGGAUUUUGAGGGGAUUCAGUCUGUUUUUGAGGAGAUGGUUAGCAAUGCGGAUGCAAGUGGGGUUUCUUCAUCUGGUGCGUAUAACAGGGUGCUUCAGUAUCUGGCUAAGUCUGAGAAAUUGGAGGUUACUUUCUGUUGCUUCAAGAAAGUUCAGGAGCUGGAUUGUAAACUUGAUACUCAGACAUAUAAUGCACUUAUAACUCUGUUUCUCACUAAAGGGCUGCCUUAUAAGGCGUUCGAGAUUUAUGCAAACAUGGAGAAGGAUGGGUGUUCCUUAGAUGCAUCGACUUAUGACCUGAUGAUACCCAGCCUUGCUAAGUCUGGCCGUCUAGAUGCUGCUUUCAAGCUCUUCCAGGAGAUGAAAGCAAAGAAUUAUCGACCAACUUCUGGCAUUUUUGUUUGUUUGGUCGAUACAAUGGGGAAGGCUGGGAGGUUGGAUACAGCAAUGAAGGUAUACAUGGAAUUGCAAGGUUUUGGGUUGAGGCCAUCUGGAGCUAUGUUUGUUUCUCUUAUCGAGUCAUUUGUUAAGGCUGGGAAGCUUGACGCGGCUUUGAAGCUCUGGGAUGAGAUGAAAAGGUCGGGGCUUAGACCUAAUUAUGGGCUGUACACUAUGAUUGUUGAGGCUCAUGCUAAAUCAGGGAAACUUGAGAUUGCAAUGUCAAUAUUCUCGGACAUGGAAAAGGCUGGAUUUUUACCUACGCCAUCAACCUACUCCUCUCUCCUUGAGAUGCAUGCUGCUUCUGGACAAGUAGACGCUGCAAUGAAAUUGUACAACUCCAUGGCAAAUGCAGGUUUGAGGCCUGGUCUGAGCACUUAUACAGGUCUUCUGACUUUGUUGGCGAAAAAGAAGCUUGUGGACGUGGCUGCGAAAGUUUUGCUUGAGAUGAAGGCAAUGGGUUAUUCAGUUGAGGUGAAUGCUAGUGAUGUUCUCAUGGUUUACAUAAAAGAUGGUUCUGUUGAUCUUGCUUUGAGGUGGCUGCGUUUUAUGGGUUCAUCAGGGAUUCGAACAAAUAACUUCAUCAUUAGGCAGCUAUUCGAGUCAUGCAUGAAGAAUGGCUUAUAUGAGUCUGCUAAGCCUCUCCUUGAAACAUAUGUUAACAGUGCUGCUAAGGUUGACCUCAUACUUUACACGUCGAUUCUAGCUCAUCUUGUUAGAUGCCAGGAAGAGCACAAUGAGAGGCAUUUGAUGUCAAUCUUGAGUGCUACAGAUCAUAAGGCUCAUGCUUUCCUAUGUGGACUCUUUACUGGAACUGAACAGAGGAAACAACCGGUUUUAUCAUUUGUCAGAGAAUUUUUCCAAGGUAUUGAUUAUGAAUUGGAAGAAGGAGCUGCCAGGUACUUUGUCAACGUGCUCCUUAACUACCUUGUCCUAAUGGGACAAAUAAAUCGUGCUCGGUGUGUCUGGAAAGUUGCAUACGAGAAGAAGCUUUUCCCUAAAGCGAUUGUCUUUGAUCAACACAUCGCCUGGUCCCUGGAUGUCAGGAAUUUGUCUGUUGGGGCGGCUCUUAUAGCAGUCGUGCACACCCUUCACAGAUUCAGGAAACGCAUGUUAUAUUAUGGUGUUGUCCCAAGACGGAUCAAACUAGUCACUGGACCAACUCUGAGGAUAGUAAUAGCACAAAUGCUCUGUUCCCUGGAAUCACCAUUUGAGGUCAGUAAGGUGGUCUUGAGGGCCCCAGGAGAUUCAGUUCUUGAGUGGUUUAAGAAACCAAUCGUCCAGCAAUUCCUUUUGAAUGAGAUUCCAUCAAGAUCCGACAUCUUGAUGCAUAAGCUCAACACCAUCUUCCCUAGUUCAGCACCUGAAAUCAGAUCAUUAUCUCCCCCUAAGCCCCAUGUUUCUGGAAAGGGAAUGCAAAUAUGAAAAUAAUCACAGGUGAUUGAUCAUUUUUAUCAAAUCUGUAUAUCUAUGUGCACAUCAUAAUUCUCCGUAUCAUGUAUUAGAAAUAUUUUCUAGUAAUAUGCCAUGCUUUAUCUGAUGUGUACCAGAAACUCCCUCACAGCUUGCAGAAUAAGUAAUAACUUCCAGAAUGCAUUAAACUAAAUCUGCAGUGGCAGCUUAUUAUGCUACGUGUCAUCUUUAUCAAGCUGUUUGCAAUUAUGCAACCUCUUGUUGUGUAUGAGAUUGAUUUGAUAAUGUUUUACUGCUGAUGAGUCUUACCAGCACAUAUAGUCAAUUUAGAUGGUUUGAGUUUAUUCUUGAGACCUGUUCUUGAUCAAGUUCUCCUUGUUGAAGGUGUAUGAUUUUAUUUAGAAGCAGUCAUUAGUUUGAUGUCCUAGGAUUGAAAUUAGUUCUAAGAAAUUCUUAUGUGUAAGUAGUCCUUAUAAGCUGGCUCUGUCUCAUAUUGAUUAUAUAUGGUUGGAAUUUUUUAUUGGUGAAGUACCCAGUUCUAAGAAUAAUUGAACAUCCAUAUAUAUAGAGGCGAAUUCACGAGACAACGAAAUCUUAGAGAUGCUGGAUGUAGAAGCUCUACAAUGUUCUGCAUAUUUAUGUGACCUGUAUUUGUUGUUUCUGCAUGCUGGCUGUAAACCCGGAUUUUUGUGUUUGUUACUGGGAGUUUAUAUAUUGUAGACUGAAAACUUCUUAAGUACGGAGUACCUGAUUGCAAAUUAGAUUUCCAUGUAUGAGAGAAUUGGUAUAGACAGCAGCAAUGCGUGGUUAAAAAAACGCCCGAAUCUCUUUGAGAUGAUGUAUAUAGAAGUGAGAGGUAGAAUCCUCAAAGUGUGGUCUGUUUAUCUGGCCAACUCUCGUUGUACAUUAGCUGAUGACUUGUGCAGUAUAUCAUCUGAUUGCAUGUUUUUAAUACAAUCUCAUGAAAAGCAUAGUGUAGUAAACUGGAACCUCACCAUGAUCAAAAUCAAGAUAUAGUCUUGUAGUUUGACAUCAGACCAUUAUUUACUGGUUCCUAAAUUUGUGGAUUUAUGAAUUAAUGUCCAAUUGAGUCGAGUUUGUGUUGUUUUAGCAAUCCACUCCAACCUCUUGCUUCAUCUAUCCUAGUUCCAUGGAAGCACAAUUUAUUUGGAAGGACGACUCAUUAUAGUCGGGGCUUUAUUUGGUUGCUUGUGCGUCGUACAGUGAUAAACAGGCUAGCAUCGCCUGUCGCAGCAUUCUUCAAGUUCUUUGAAACCUCAAAUAUGCAGCUUAAGAGACUCUUUGAAACCUCAAGGUCUGGAAAUCUGCAGCUGAGAGAGAGAGAGAGAGAGAGAGAGAGAGAGUCAAGUAGUAAAAGAAACGAAAGAAAUUUGAUAUUAGUAUUUGGACUAGAAGCAUUAGUAAUGUAUAGUAUAGGUGGGAAGUGAAAAUCUCCCAGCCUACAGCAUAUUUAAUGAAGCUGCAUUUUAAGCAAAUUUUAUGGACAAGAAAUUCAUCGUUGUAAGAACACUAUAAAUAGGAAGAGAAAGCGAAAUGGUGUCGUAUAUGCAGCCGCUACCUUCGGUGCCAACUGAUUUGUGAUUACACCUCCUUUCUUGUGCAAUAACAUGAAAAUCACAAUGAAAUAUGAAAUUAUAUCAUAUUUUAGAUA